GCUCAGAGCGAACGCUGGCGGCAGGCUUAACACAUGCAAGUCGAACGGGCACUUCGGUGCUAGUGGCAGACGGGUGAGUAACACGUGGGAACGUACCUUUCGGUUCGGAAUAAUUCAGGGAAACUUGGACUAAUACCGGAUACGCCCUUCGGGGGAAAGAUUUAUCGCCGAAAGAUCGGCCCGCGUCUGAUUAGCUAGUUGGUGAGGUAAAGGCUCACCAAGGCGACGAUCAGUAGCUGGUCUGAGAGGAUGAUCAGCCACAUUGGGACUGAGACACGGCCCAAACUCCUACGGGAGGCAGCAGUGGGGAAUAUUGGACAAUGGGCGAAAGCCUGAUCCAGCCAUGCCGCGUGAGUGAUGAAGGCCUUAGGGUUGUAAAGCUCUUUUUCCGGGAAGNNAAUGACUNACCGGAAGAAUAAGCCCCGCA
This 427-nucleotide ribosomal RNA is filed under the name Allobosea thiooxidans. RNAcentral's name for it is "bacterial SSU rRNA". It matches the Rfam family "Bacterial small subunit ribosomal RNA", at positions 22 to 497 of the family's 1533-position model. The record is from RNAcentral. Lineage: Bacteria; Pseudomonadati; Pseudomonadota; Alphaproteobacteria; Hyphomicrobiales; Alloboseaceae.